UCCGGUUUGUCACCGGCGGUCUCCUUAGAGUUCCCACCAUUACGUGCUGGCAACUAAGGACAAGGGUUGCGCUCGUUGCGGGACUUAACCCAACAUCUCACGACACGAGCUGACGACAGCCAUGCAGCACCUGUGUUCGAGUUCCCGAAGGCACCAAUCCAUCUCUGGAAAGUUCUCGACAUGUCAAGGCCAGGUAAGGUGGGGAUGACGUCAAGGUACGGAC
This 223-nucleotide unclassified non-coding RNA is filed under the name uncultured Lysobacteraceae bacterium. Its description in RNAcentral is "uncultured Xanthomonadaceae bacterium contains 16S-23S intergenic spacer region". Lineage: Bacteria; Pseudomonadati; Pseudomonadota; Gammaproteobacteria; Lysobacterales; Lysobacteraceae. The record is from RNAcentral.